CAGAAACUCUUUAAUGAAGGUAGGGGCUGCCUGCAAAGCCGUGUUAAGUGCACGGGAACGGACUCACACUGACUCACUUCCACAAUGGGUGCUGUUGGCUGUGAUUUCAGCUCCUCAGGCUGUGUGGUGGCGCAUUUGGAUGUGUGGUGACGGCAGGGACAGAUUACGCAUGAGUACCUUCAGAAGAAACGGGCACCUUUAACAAAGAACAAAUACGAGGAAGUGGUAGUGUCGCGUGACGGAAGGAACUGAUGAUUUGGUGGGUGAUGGGGUGCCCUGAAAGGACAGGAAGCCUGAGCCGGGUCUUGAUGUCGGGGUGGAGCUUCGGGGGCUCAUGGAGCGCUGCUGAACGCCUGGUUUACUAGUGUGAUUUUGAGAGCGAACAGGUUUUCUUCUGAGUUUCCUGCUCACGGUUCGGGUGAAAGCUGUCUUUGUCCUGCGGAGGUGGAAACAUGGACACUGCUCUGGCCAAGAACAGCUCCCCAGAAUUUUCCGCUGGCAACAGGUUUGCUCGGUCCAUCAGCCUAAGGAAAUGAUGAAAUCGACCAAUUACUAAUAGGAAAUAUGUCAGAAGCUUUAAAAUUUCAUGAGAAACAUCAUGUUAAUGGGAAAGGUUUAAAGAAAAAAAUUCCCAUUGCUCGGCGACAAGCCAAAAAUAAUAAAAAAGUGCCUUACAUGUUCUCUCUACAACCAAACUCCAUUACCUGUGGGUAGUAACCCUAGGGGCACCAAAAGAAAUGACAUCUGGCAGUGGAUGUUUUCCAUUUCCCAGAAUUUGGAAAGCAAAGAUAUAUACACCAUGCAUACCAUUGACCCAUUCUCGGGGUUUCAAUGGGCAACUGCUUUAAGUUCUGAAAGGCUGACUGUGCAAUUACACACUUACUGGAAAUAAUGGCAGGGUUGGGGAUUUAGCUCAGUGGUAGAGCGCUGGCCCUGGGUUCGGUCCCCAGCUCUGAAAAAAAGAAAAAAAAAAAAAGAAAUAAUGGCAAUUAUGGGUCAGCUGCACCAAUUAAAACUGAGAGUGCUCCCGCGUACGUAUCCGAUAAGAUGAAGCAGUUCUCUGCAACCGUAAGAUAUAGCACGAUACCACACAAUCCCACAGGACAAGCCGAAAGAGCCAAUCACACCUUAAAAGAGAUGCUGAGUAAACAAAAAGAGAGAAUGAAAACCGCCAGGGACAGACUAACACUCAACUUUCUUACUGUUGGCGAGAAAGGGAGCUACAGCCGCUGAGAGACACUGCGUUAUCAAAAAACUGAGCAACCGGUCCAACCAAUAUACUAUAAGGAUGUGUUGACAUUAGAAUGGAGACCUGCAAUGGUUUUUAAGAUGGGGACGUGGUUUAUGCUUAUGUAUGUACAGGGAAUGAAAAAAAAAUGUCAAUACCAAGAAAACUUACAAGGAUUAGAUCGGACCAACAAAACUUAUAAAAAUCAGAUCUGACCAGGGAAAACCUCUUAUCACCGGAGACAAGGAUGUCUCCACAAAGCAAACAGCCCAAAUAAUUCUCAGACUGUCUCAAUUACUGACUUCUUCAGAAAACGCAUGCAAAUCAACUUCAAAGGGCUGGGCCAGGUGAUCCGUCAUGAAGAGCCGGACAGACAGACAAUGCAGAGACUGAGUAAUAAAGGCUGCACUUAGCUUUUUUCGGACUAACCAUUUUCUGGAUAAUUUUGCUUGCUUUACGUGCUAUGAUUGCUGUCAUCUAGGGUUUUAGGUUGUUUUGCUUAAUUAUUGUUUAUUGAUAAAAAUGUAAGUUUUUGUUUAAUUAGUGUAUAUUAGAAUUAUUCUAUGUUGAUAUUAAUAGAAAUUUAAGUUAUUUUUCUUUAAUUAGUGUAUAUUGAUAGAAAUUUAAGGUUGUUUUACUAGACUAUUGUUUCACUAUAUUGUACAUAAGCCACUUAUUUAAAAUGUGAUGGUUCUUAUAAUUAUUUCUAGUGCGUAUAGACUGCUAAUGUUAGCGAAGCGGACAAUUCUUAGACAGAAAGGGGGAUAUGAAGUGGAAACUUAAGGAUUCUUUGGAAAGCCAGUUGGAUGACGUUUCACUGGGGCAAACUCACGAAGGAACGUUUCACUGACGCAGACGCAGGAGCUCGGAUGUUCUGCUAAAGCAGCACGGGGCAGGACGAGUGAGGAAGGAUUCUUUGCUAAGGACUCGCAUGUGUUGCUCCACCUUGCACUGUGUAGUUGAGCUGCAUUUGUCAGGACUCCAGAGAGAGAAAUGCAUCAGACAACGUCUGGUGGUGUGCUGCAGUUUCUUGCUGCUUCCGAAGACUGGGGUUCAUUGGAUGCACAUGCUGAGGCAAAACCCACGUUGAGAAAAGUCACAUGGAGGACACAUGAUGUUUGGAGGGUAUAAAUAGGACUUUGUGGAGUGACAGAAGCAGAACUUGGCUUGCUGUACAGCCAGUUGUGCCAUGCUUGUGGGUGUCUCAUCUUUGCUGAUCUUCACAUCCCUGAGAGAGGCACAGCCGAGAACUUCUCCUGGUGUUCUGUUGGUCUCUCCUGGAGCUGAGGCUGAGGCCUGGCUGUCUCUGCUAGGUCGUGUCACUGCUGCUGCUGACCUGACACUACAGAAAUGGAGCUGGUGUAUCUGUGAGGUGUUUGCGAGUGGAUCGAGCUGCCGCUGCCUGCUCACCUGUGAACUGAACUGCCAAUUUCCAGACAGCACAGACGGAAGUUGUUCCAAAGGACCUCUCUAAACAGGUCCAUUCCACCUCCCCCCAGCCCAGUAUUCUCUCUUUUUCAACUACCUCUGGUGGGUAGUGGGCUAAAGGGAGGUUAAAAUGUUUAAGAACCAUCAUAAAAAAAUAAGGUUUGAAAACAUUUAAAGUUACAAAGCAGUACCGGUCCAUGGCCUCUGCAUCAGUGUCUGACUCCAGGUCUGUUACGGAGUUUCUGCCCUGAUUUCCCUCAGCAAUGGAAUGUGGCCUGAGAAUUCUAAGCUGAAAUAAACUCUUUCCUCCCUAA
Rattus norvegicus (Norway rat) is the source of this 2970-nucleotide long non-coding RNA. NCBI's taxonomy places the organism in Eukaryota, Metazoa, Chordata, Mammalia, Rodentia, Muridae. The record is from Ensembl.